Molecule: ribosomal RNA, 470 nt
Filed under: uncultured eukaryote
Lineage: Eukaryota
Description: bacterial SSU rRNA
Rfam family: Eukaryotic small subunit ribosomal RNA
Source: RNAcentral
GGACAUGGUGAGGAUUGCCAGAUUGAAAGCUCUUGCAUGAUCCCAUGAAGGGUGGUGCAUGGCCGCUUCUGGUUGGUGGAGUGAUUUGUCUGCUUAAUUGCGCUAACGAACGAGAUCUCAACCAGCAUCUACAUGCCAGUUCCGUUUAAGGUUUUCGGUGGUCCAUCUGGGGGUCGGGCAACUGGUUCUCAGGUGGUUCUGCUGGCCGAGGAAGCUGGAGACUGUUUACAUACUGGGAUUAUGCAUAGUUCCAAUUGCAUUGAAACGUGAGCCAAAAGCAGGUCUGUGAUGCUCCUAUAUGUCCUGGGCUGCACGCGCACUACACUGACGCAGACAACGAGCUUCUGUCUUCGUGACAGCCUGUGCCGAAGGGCAUGGGGAAUCUUCUGAGGCUGCGUCGUGAUGGGGAUAGAUGCUUGAAUUAUUCUCCUUGAACGAGGAAUGCCUUGUAGGCGCGUUUCAUCAGAACG